RNAcentral lists this unclassified non-coding RNA (1835 nucleotides) under Anneissia japonica. RNAcentral's name for it is "amidase-like, transcript variant X3". The record is from RNAcentral. Lineage: Eukaryota; Metazoa; Echinodermata; Crinoidea; Comatulida; Comatulidae.
UAGGGGAGGGAGUAAGUUGCAACGUUUAGAAUAGUUAAGCAAAAGAAGCACAAAGGGUAUAUCCUUAUCACAAAGUUUAUCUAAGUGAAAUUUAGAAUCAUAAUUUAGGAUGUUUGUAUAGAGUGACGUUCACUGGCCAUGUAAACAAUUACUGUAAACUAAUUAGGCUUGAUAGUGACCUUAAAUUUAAAUCACCAAUAAAACGUUAAGUUCAUUACCCCGGCAGUAAAUGGAAUUUGGAGUUUAUUUUCCUCGAGUCAACUGAAGUUCAACCAGGGAAGUCAUUCAGAGAUUAAAUUGAUUCUAUUUAUGUAAUGCAGUAUUACUCUUGUUUGUUUCUACGGAGAAUGAUCGAUAUUGAAGAAAAGGGCAGAAUAAUGAAUAAAUAUGACAGUUUCUUGAACAUAUCAGGUGAUCUGUAUAGUUCUCCAUCUGUUCGAAUGCCUGAUAUAAAAAAGGUCGAAGAGCUCUCCAGGCGCAUUGGAAUUAAUCUGAGUGACGAAGAAGUUAAGGAGUAUAGAGAGUUAAUGAAGACAUUUGUGGAAAGUUUUAAUGCCGUGGAGAACAUACCCGAGCCGACACUGCCAGUGAAGUAUCCAAGACUUCCUGGAUAUAGGCCGCCGGUGGAGGAAAAUCCUCUAAAUGCUUGGUAUUGGAAAACUAACAUUGAGGGCGUGUCUGAAGGUAUCCUGAAAGGAAAAAGUGUAGCCAUCAAAGACAAUGUAGCUGUUUAUGGAGUUCCCAUGAUGGGAGGAUCAUGGGUUCUUGAGGGCUAUAUUCCAGAGUUUGAUGCUACGGUAGUGACUCGGAUACUUGAUGCAGGUGGUGUAAUAAAAGGUAAAUCUAUUUGUGAAGAUUUUUGCUGUUUUGGUAUGAGUUUCAACGGUGCUAGAGGACCUGUUUUGAAUCCGUACAAUAACACUCAUGAUGCUGGGGGAUCGAGCUCUGGCAGUGCAGUUUUGGUUGCAAACGGUGAAGUAGACAUGGCUAUUGGAGGGGAUCAGGGUGGUUCAAUUAGGUUACCAGCAAGCUGCUGUGGGAUCGUAGGCCUUAAACCAACAUAUGGCCUUGUACCGUACACGGGAGCACAGUCCGUGGAGCUAACGAUCGAUCAUCUCGGUCCAAUGGCAAAGACAGUCUACGACUGCGCAUUACUAUUAGAGGCAAUUGCUGGUUACGACAAUGGACUUGAUCCACGACAACCGGCAAAUGUGUCUGUAGAAAAGUACACGGAAGAGUUAGCGUCAUCUGAUCUCACUGGAUUCACUAUUGGCAUCCUAAAAGAAGGAUUUGAGCACAGGGAUUCUGAUCCUAGGGUGAACGAGCUUAUUCUACAAUGUAUAUCAAAGGUAAAGGUAGCUCACACUGAAAUCAAGGACGUAUCGGUACCAAUGCACACAUACGGUGUAGAUCUUGUAUCCUGUAUCGCAUGCGUCGGAGGAGUAGAUACAAUUUUUAGAGGUGGAAGCAAUGGUAGUGGACGUAAAGGAUUCUACUCCACAAGUAUGAGGGAUGCUGUCGUUAGAGGAGUUCAAUCACAACCCAAUGAACUCUCGCCUUCAGUGAAACCUUAUUGGGUGGUUGGCGGAUAUACAAGUGUUAUCUUGAGUUUUGUAUUGUAUGGUUUAGCAGUCUGACAGAAAACAGCAAAUGUAGAAUAAGGAAAUCCAUAGAUUUUGCAGGACGUGUUAUUGGCAGAUCUUUUUAAAACAGCAUCUGGAAAUAAUGUUAAUACAAGAACAUUUAACGUAACUGGCCACCCAGCCAUCAGCAUCAACGCUGGAUUUAUAGACGACCUACCAAUCGGGAUGAUGUUAGUUGGAAAAAUGUUCGAC